RNAcentral lists this ribosomal RNA (1479 nucleotides) under Bifidobacterium ruminantium DSM 6489. Its description in RNAcentral is "bacterial LSU rRNA". It matches the Rfam family "Bacterial large subunit ribosomal RNA", at positions 1472 to 2925 of the family's 2925-position model. The record is from RNAcentral. Lineage: Bacteria; Bacillati; Actinomycetota; Actinomycetes; Bifidobacteriales; Bifidobacteriaceae.
ACACGGAAUGGGAGCCGGCCGCGGAGGUGGUUUUCCGUGGUCAAGCACGCAGCCAGUCGCACAGGCAAAUCCGUGCGGCAUGCAUGGCGAGGUGCGAUGAUGGGAGCCGUUAUGGCUCGAUAUCCGGUUGUCCAGGCCGUCGAGAAAAGCCUCGGCGCGAGGGCCAUGGCCGCCCGUACCCCAAACCGACACUGGUGGUCAGGUAGAGAAUACCAAGGCGAUCGAGCGAAUCCUGGUCAAGGAACUCGGCAAAUCACUCCCGUGCCUUCGGUAUAAGGGAGACCCAUUGGGGUGAACGGCCUCGCGCCGGGAGCCUUGGUGGGUGGCACAGACCAGGGGGUAGCGACUGUUUACCAAAAACACAGGUGCAUGCGAAGGCGAAAGCCGCUGUAUAUGCACUGACGCCUGCCCGGUGCCGGAAGGUUAAGAGGAUCCGUCAAUCCCUUCGGGGACGAAGCGGUGAAUUCAAGCCCCGGUAAACGGCGGUGGUAACUAUAACCAUCCUAAGGUAGCGAAAUUCCUUGUCGGGUAAGUUCCGACCUGCACGAAUGGCGUAACGACUUCCCCACUGUCUCGACCAGGAGCUCGGCGAAAUUGCAGUACGAGUAAAGAUGCUCGUUAAGCGCAGAAGGACGAAAAGACCCCGGGACCUUUACUAUACCUUGGUAUUGGCGUUAGGCGCGGAUUGUGUAGCAUAGGCGGGAGGCUUCGAAGCGCGGGCGCCAGCCCGUGUGGAGCCGCAAGGUGAAAUACCGCUCUGUUCUCGUUUGACGUCUAACCUCGACAAGUCAUCCUUGUCAGGGACAGUGCCUGGCGGGUAGUUCAACUGGGGCGGUUGCCUCCCAAAGAGUAACGGAGGCGCUCAAAGGUCCGCUCAGCCCGGUUGGCAAUCGGGUGUCGAGUGUAAUCGCACAAGCGGGCUUGACUGCGAGGACGACGGUCCGAGCAGGGACGAAAGUCGGAGAUAGUGAUCCGGUGCCGGCGCACGGGCGCGGCAUCGCUCAACGGAUAAAAGGUACCCCGGGGAUAACAGGCUGAUCAUUCCCAAGAGUCCAUAUCGACGGGAUGGUUUGGCACCUCGAUGUCGGCUCGUCGCAUCCUGGGGCUGGAGCAGGUCCCAAGGGUUCGGCUGUUCGCCGAUUAAAGCGGCACGCGAGCUGGGUUCAGAACGUCGUGAGACAGUUUGGUCUCUAUCCUCUGCGCUCGUUGGAAUCCUGAGGAGGCCUGCCCAUAGUACGAGAGGACCUGGGUGGACGAACCUCUGGUAUGCCGGUUGUCACGCCAGUGGCACGGCCGGUUGGCUACGUUCGGGAGGGAUAACCGCUGAAAGCAUCUAAGCGGGAAGCCUGCUCCAAGAUUAGGAUUCCGUACAGUCCUGAACUGUUGUAGCCCGCAUGUUGAACACGUGUUUGAUAGGCCGGGGGUGGAAGUCCCGUGAGGGAUGGAGCCGACCGGUACUAACGGGCGAUGGCGACACAA